CAGCAGCCGCGGGAAUACGGAGGGUGCAAGCGUUAAUCGGAAUUACUGGGCGUAAAGCGCACGCAGGCGGUCUGACAAGUCCGAUGUGAAAUCCCCGGGCUUAACCUGGGAACUGCAUUUGAAACUGUCAGGCUGGAGUCUUGUAGAGGGGGGUAGGAUUCCAGGUGUAGCGGUGAAAUGCGUAGAGAUCUGGAGGAAUACCGGUGGCGAAGGCGGCCCCCUGGACAAAGACUGACGCUCAGGUGCGAAAGCGUGGGGAGCAAACAGGAUUAGAUACCCCGGUAGUCCCUGUCUCUUAUAC
Molecule: ribosomal RNA, 301 nt
Filed under: uncultured bacterium
Lineage: Bacteria
Description: partial 16S ribosomal RNA
Rfam family: Bacterial small subunit ribosomal RNA
Source: RNAcentral